UCCUCCUCGACCUUCGGUCCGAGAUGGGGACGAGACCAGGUCGAGAAUAGGUCGAGGUAGGUCGAAAAAAGGUCGAGUUUAGGUCGACAUUAGGUCGAGUUGGUCGAGUUGAAGGUCGAGCUGGCCUGACAUGCCGAUCUGUGUUCGUCUAAGAGUCGAUCUGGACUCGGCCUCGACUCGACCUCGACUCGACCUUGAGUCAACCAACUCGAACUGGAUUCGACUUGGACUCAACCUGGAGUCAACCGAGUCGACCUGAAGUCAACCUAUCUCGACCUCAACACGACCUAAUCGAGUCCACGCCGACCGCAUAAAUGGUCGCCAUCUUCCCAGACGCUUCAUAAAAGCCAAGCGGCAGCCAGUGGUAGCACAUCAUCUCCACACCAACCUGCUGCCACCCAGAGGUCCACCCUGAGCACACCACCCUCUCCAACACGCCGCAAAGCAGCGAAACAGGCUGGUAUCUUCCCCAGCUUUGACUCCAGUGCUGCAGCAGGUAUAUCUCUGUACCUGCCAAGCGGUCUCUUGGACCCUACACACACCUCAGAGGAUCAGUCACAUGUUCAA
Long non-coding RNA from Haliotis rubra (blacklip abalone), 567 nucleotides. RefSeq lists it as uncharacterized. NCBI's taxonomy places the organism in Eukaryota, Metazoa, Mollusca, Gastropoda, Lepetellida, Haliotidae. The record is from RefSeq and is a predicted model, not a curated record. The transcript has 3 exons.